AUUGAACGCUGGCGGAAUGCUUUACACAUGCAGGUCGAGCGGCAGCGCGGCCUUCGGGCUGGCGGCGAGCGGCGAACGGGUGAGUAAUGCAUCGGAACAUGCCCAGUCGUGGGGGAUAACACUUCGAAAGAAGUGCUAAUACCGCAUACGUCCUGAGGGGGAAAGCGGGGGAUCGCAAGACCUCGCGCGAUUGGAGUGGCCGAUGUCAGAUUAGCUAGUUGGUGGGGUAAAGGCCUACCAAGGCGACGAUCUGUAGCUGGUCUGAGAGGAUGAUCAGCCACACUGGGACUGAGACACGGCCCAGACUCCUACGGGAGGCAGCAGUGGGGAAUUUUGGACAAAGGGGGCAACCCUGAUCCAGCCAUUCCGCGUGAGUGAAGAAGGCCUUCGGGUUGUAAAGCUCUUUCGGCAGGAACGAAACGGUGGGCUCUAACAUAGUCCGCUAAUGACGGUACCUGAAGAAGAAGCACCGGCUAACUACGUG
This 484-nucleotide ribosomal RNA is filed under the name uncultured bacterium. Its description in RNAcentral is "partial 16S ribosomal RNA". It matches the Rfam family "Bacterial small subunit ribosomal RNA", at positions 29 to 507 of the family's 1533-position model. The record is from RNAcentral.